GCCCCGGUAGCUCAGUCCGGCAGAGCGGCGGGCUGCAGACCCGUAGGUCCCGGGUU
This 56-nucleotide transfer RNA is filed under the name Pyrobaculum aerophilum str. IM2. It matches the Rfam family "tRNA", at positions 1 to 53 of the family's 71-position model. From Rfam's summary of the family: Transfer RNA (tRNA) molecules are approximately 80 nucleotides in length. Their secondary structure includes four short double-helical elements and three loops (D, anti-codon, and T loops). The record is from Rfam by way of RNAcentral. Lineage: Archaea; Thermoproteati; Thermoproteota; Thermoprotei; Thermoproteales; Thermoproteaceae.